UUCCGGUUGAUCCCGCCGGACCUGACUGCUAUCGGAUUGAUACUAAGCCAUGCGAGUCUUUGCAGUAAUGCAAGGCAUACGGCUCAGUAACACGUAGUCAACUUACCCUAUGGACGAGGAUAAUCUCGGGAAACUGAGCAUAAUACUCGAUAGAUCAUAAUGCCUGGAAUGGUUUAUGGUUAAAAUGAUUCGUCGCCAUAGGAUGGGACUGCGGCCUAUCAGCUUGUUGGUGAGGUAAUGGCCCACCAAGGCGAUUACAGGUACGGGCUCUGAGAGGAGAAGCCCGGAGAUGGGUACUGAGACAAGGACCCAGGCCCUAUGGGGCGCAGCAGGCGAGAAAACUUUGCAAUGUGCGAAAGCACGACAAGGUUAAUCCGAGUGAUUUCUGCUAAAGAAAUCUUUUGCAAGUCAUAAAACCACUAGUGAAUAAGGGGUGGGCAAGUUCUGGUGUCAGCCGCCGCGGUAAAACCAGCACCUCAAGUGGUCAGGAGGAUUAUUGGGCCUAAAGCAUCCGUAGCCGGCUCUGUAAGUUUUCGGUUAAAUCCAUGUGCUCAACGCAUGGGCUGCCGAAAAUACUGCAUAGCUAGGGAGUGGGAGAGGUAGACGGUACUCGGUAGGAAGGGGUAAAAUCCUUUGAUCUAUCGAUGACCACCUGUGGCGAAGGCGGUCUACCAGAACACGUUCGACGGUGAGGGAUGAAAGCUGGGGGAGCAAACCGGAUUAGAUACCCGGGUAGUCCCAUCUGUAAACGAUGCAGACUCGAUGAUGCAUUGGCAUAUAGCCAGUGCAGUGUCGCAGGGAAGCCGUUAAGUCUGCCGCCUGGGAAGUACGUACGCAAGUAUGAAACUUAAAGGAAUUGGCGGGGGAGCACCACAAGGGGUGAAGCCUGCGGUUCAAUUGGAGUCAACGCCGGG
Molecule: ribosomal RNA, 914 nt
Filed under: uncultured marine archaeon
Lineage: Archaea
Description: bacterial SSU rRNA
Rfam family: Archaeal small subunit ribosomal RNA
Source: RNAcentral